Molecule: long non-coding RNA, 1101 nt
Filed under: Homo sapiens (human)
Lineage: Eukaryota; Metazoa; Chordata; Mammalia; Primates; Hominidae
Description: HSALNT0317205
Source: RNAcentral
UGCGCCACCGGCUCAGCCUCGCGGCGGGGGAAACCCGAGCUCCCAACAAAACGGUUCCAUCUUUGGCUAGGCCUUUGGCACCAAAGAAGGCCCAGAGAGGUUUAACAACUUCCUCAGAAUCACACAGCUUCCAAAUGGUUGGGUUGGGUUUACAUUUAGGCGGUCUUGCUCCAGAGCCAGUGCUCCUAACCUUUGCAAGCCACGAACCUCAAGAAAGUGGAGAAGGAAACGCUGGGAAAUCUGGAAGUCAGACAUGAGAGCUAAUGCUGGCAGCUGUUGGGAUGUCCUCUUCCAGGAAUGGUGAUGAGUUUCCCUGGAUCCAGCCCUGGCUUGGCUGAGGUUUUUCUCACUGUAAGAAGAGGACAAUAGCCUAUGAUCUACAGUGCCCAUUCCAACUCAGAGAAUCUUUACAUCUGGAGAUCUAUAGCAGGGCUAUCCCUAGUGACAUGCGUGAAGAAGCUUGGAAAUGGUGCUGGGUAGGAGCUGAGUGUGCAGAAUGUGGAAAGGCAUUCUAAACCAAAGGAAGAACACGAGUAAAGAUGAUGAAGCAGGGAUAAGGCUAAAAUGAAAUUUGUGAUCUGAUCCACAUACAAGCACAGUGUAGUACAGCUGGAAUAUAGAGAAGAGCUUGAAGACUUAUGAGCAACUAUCCCGGUACUCUUGGAGGCUCUGCAACCACAGUUUGAGAAACUCCGCGUUCAAAGUUAAAAACUGUCACCUGAAUAGUUAAUAACAUCAAAGAUUGUGAAAGCAAGUAUAAAUAACACAGAGAUUAAAAUAAUGAGGCAGGAUCAGAAAUUGCUGACCUCCAUAACAGCAGACAAAAUUGGAAGCAAGAGUGAUUUUGGAGGAGUCACACUUAGAUGUUUCCCUUACCUAUUUCUGUUCUGGAAAUUUAAAAAUCUUACUUCUCGUGACAGUCCUACAUGAAAAAUUAAAAAUCACAAGGAUUCAUGGAUGGAAAACUGAGACUCAGAGAAUGAUCACAUUCACAUCGUAAUAAAUCAGCAAUAGAGUGAGUGAUUGUUCCUUGGUAAGAAAUCAACUCUAAACUCAGUUGGAAACCUUUGCCAAUAUUACUUAACACAUGACAAUCUGGUG